RNAcentral lists this long non-coding RNA (1095 nucleotides) under Malus domestica (apple). RNAcentral's name for it is "long non-coding RNA (MDOM_LNC006519)". The record is from RNAcentral. Lineage: Eukaryota; Viridiplantae; Streptophyta; Magnoliopsida; Rosales; Rosaceae.
GAAUUGCAAAGAAACAACACUAACAAAGUUUAGACACAUAAAUUUUGAAGGUCUAGCUACCAUAUUAUUACCCACAAGGGUAAAGGAACAGUACCACUGCUGGAUAAUUGGAAAGUCCCGGUGUGUCAACCUCUGUGCUUCGUGGCAAGGUAGACUAGCAAACAUGCCCAACCUUUACUCACAUUCGAGAAAACACUCCCAACAGGAUUGCUUGCUCCAAAAUCGAAGAGGCACCGCCCUCCGAAUCUCGAGAGCCAGACUCCCAACAUGAUUACUUUCUCAAAAAUCGAAGAGAGGGUAAAAGAACAGUACCACUGCUGGAUAAUUGGAAAGUCCCUGUGUGUCAACCUUUGUGCUUCGUGGCAAGGUAGACUAGCAAACAUGCCCAACCUUUACUCACAUUCGAGAAAACACUCCCAACAAGAUUGCUUGCUCCAAAAUCGAAGAGGCACCGCCCUCCGAAUCUCGAGAGCCAGACUCCCAACAUGAUUACUUUCUCAAAAAUUGAAGAGAGGGUAAAGGAACAGUACCACUGCUGGAUAAUUGGAAAGUCCCUGUGUGUCAAUCUCUGUGCUUCGUGGCAAGGUAGACUAGCAAACAUGCCCAACCUUUACUCACAUUCGAGAAAACACUCCCAAUAAGAUUGCUUGCUCCAAAAUCGAAGAGGCACCGCCCUCCGAAUCUCGAGAGCUAGACUCCCAACAUGAUUACUUUCUCAAAAAUCGAAGAGACACCGCUCUCCGAAUCUCGAGAGCCAGACCCCCAGCAGGAUUGCUUUCUCAAAAAUCGAAGAGGCAUCGUUCUCCGAAUCUCGAGAGCCAGAUCCCCGACAGGAGUGCUUGUUCGAAAACCGAAGAGGCACCACUUUCCCAACUUCAAGAGCUGGAUCUCCUUGGAUAAAGCUUGUCUGUAAUCUUCACACGCAACAUCAGCUUUCCAGAUACCACAGACGACUUUUUCAAAGUGCUCUGACAGAGUUAAAACAUGUGAAGCUGGCAGCUCCCACUACCGUGCUAUAACCAAGCAGGGUAAAGGAAUAACAUUAUUACUUGAUGUUAGGGAGACUCCUAUAUAUGUCGACCUCCAUCCCUAACG